Non-coding RNA from Coemansia sp. RSA 1836, 83 nucleotides. Lineage: Eukaryota; Fungi; Kickxellomycota; Kickxellomycetes; Kickxellales; Kickxellaceae. The record is from the annotation of a GenBank genome assembly.
GCCUUUGUGGCUUAGUGGCACGGCGUCUGUCUUGUAAUUAACAUGCAAACAGAAGAUCAUCGGUUCGAUUCCGAUCUGAGGCA